UACAGAGGGUGCGAGCGUUGUCCGGAAUCACUGGGCGUAAAGGGCGCGUAGGCGGCUUGAUAAGCGUGCGGUGAAAGCCCGGGGCUCAACCCCGGGUCGGCCGUGCGAACUGUCGAGCUGGAGCACUGUAGGGGCAGGUGGAAUUCCGGGUGUAGCGGUGGAAUGCGUAGAGAUCCGGAAGAACACCGGUGGCGAAGGCGGCCUGCUGGGCAGUGGCUGACGCUGAGGCGCGACAGCGUGGGGAGCAAACAGG
RNAcentral lists this ribosomal RNA (253 nucleotides) under uncultured bacterium. RNAcentral's name for it is "partial 16S ribosomal RNA". It matches the Rfam family "Bacterial small subunit ribosomal RNA", at positions 524 to 776 of the family's 1533-position model. The record is from RNAcentral.